AAGUCGUAACAAGGUUUCCGUAGGUGAACCUGCGGAAGGAUCAUUACAGUAGUCAUCCGGGUUGCCGCAAGGCCUCCCGGGUAACCUACCACCCUUUGUUUAUUACACUUUGUUGCUUUGGCAGGCCUGCCCUCGGGCUGCUGGCUCCGGCCGGCGAGCGCUUGCCAGAGGACCUAAACUCUGUUUGUCUAUAUCGUCUGAGUACUAUAUAAUAGUUAAAACUUUCAACAACGGAUCUCUUGGUUCUGGCAUCGAUGAAGAACGCAGCGAAAUGCGAUAAGUAAUGUGAAUUGCAGAAUUCAGUGAAUCAUCGAAUCUUUGAACGCACAUUGCGCCCCCUGGUAUUCCGGGGGGCAUGCCUGUCCGAGCGUCAUUACAACCCUCAAGCUCAGCUUGGUGUUGGGCCCCGCCGCCCCGGCAGGCCCUAAAGUCAGUGGCGGUGCCGUCCGGCUCCGAGCGUAGUAAUUCUUCUCGCUCUGGAGGUCCGGUCGUGUGCUCGCCAGCAACCCCCAAUUUUUUUCAGGUUGACCUCGGAUCAGGUAGGGAUACCCGCUGAACUUAA
Molecule: ribosomal RNA, 562 nt
Filed under: Leotiomycetes sp. ZZ-10
Lineage: Eukaryota; Fungi; Ascomycota; Leotiomycetes
Description: eukaryotic LSU rRNA
Rfam family: 5.8S ribosomal RNA (bases 220-373)
Source: RNAcentral